GAGCGAGAAAAGGGGGGCAACUCCCUGAGUACAGCGGCGCACGGGUGAGUAACACGUGGGUAAUCUGCCCUGAAGUGGGGAAUAACACCGGGAAACCGGUGCUAAUACCGCAUACGAUCACGAUGUCUGCGGAUGUUGUGAUGAAAGGAGCAAUUCGCUUCAGGAGGAGCCCGCGGCUGAUUAGCUAGUUGGUGAGGUAACGGCUCACCAAGGCAACGAUCAGUAUCCGGUCUGAGAGGACGGUCGGACACACUGGAACUGAGACACGGUCCAGACUCCUACGGGAGGCAGCAGUGGGGAAUUUUUCGCAAUGGGGGCAACCCUGACGAAGCAACGCCGCGUGGGUGAUGAAGUCUCUUGGGACGUAAAACCCUUUCGACGGGGACGAAACCGCAAGGUUGACGGUACCCGUAGAAGAAGCCCCGGCUAACUCCGUG
RNAcentral lists this ribosomal RNA (437 nucleotides) under uncultured bacterium. RNAcentral's name for it is "bacterial SSU rRNA". It matches the Rfam family "Bacterial small subunit ribosomal RNA", at positions 64 to 507 of the family's 1533-position model. The record is from RNAcentral.